Molecule: ribosomal RNA, 273 nt
Filed under: uncultured prokaryote
Description: partial 16S ribosomal RNA
Rfam family: Bacterial small subunit ribosomal RNA
Source: RNAcentral
UACGUAGGGUGCGAGCGUUAAUCGGAAUUACUGGGCGUAAAGCGUGCGCAGGCGGUUUUGUAAGACAGGCGUGAAAUCCCCGGGCUCAACCUGGGAACUGCGCUUGUGACUGCAAGGCUAGAGUAUGGCAGAGGGGGGUGGAAUUCCACGUGUAGCAGUGAAAUGCGUAGAGAUGUGGAGGAACACCAAUGGCGAAGGCAGCCCCCUGGGCCAAUACUGACGCUCAUGCACGAAAGCGUGGGUAGCAAACAGGAUUAGAAACCCCAGUAGUCC